This is a transfer RNA of 73 nucleotides. It matches the Rfam family "tRNA". From Rfam's summary of the family: Transfer RNA (tRNA) molecules are approximately 80 nucleotides in length. Their secondary structure includes four short double-helical elements and three loops (D, anti-codon, and T loops). Further hydrogen bonds mediate the characteristic L-shaped molecular structure. tRNAs have two regions of fundamental functional importance: the anti-codon, which is responsible for specific mRNA codon recognition, and the 3' end, to which the tRNAs corresponding amino acid is attached (by aminoacyl-tRNA synthetases). tRNAs cope with the degeneracy of the genetic code in two manners: having more than one tRNA (with a specific anti-codon) for a particular amino acid; and 'wobble' base-pairing, i.e. permitting non-standard base-pairing at the 3rd anti-codon position. The record is from Rfam.
AGGGUAGUGGCGCAAUUGGUAGCGCAUCGGUCUCCAAAACCGACGGUUGGGGGUUCGAGUCCCUCCUACCCUG